This 104-nucleotide small nuclear RNA is filed under the name Suricata suricatta (meerkat). The record is from RNAcentral. Lineage: Eukaryota; Metazoa; Chordata; Mammalia; Carnivora; Herpestidae.
GUGCUCGCUUUGGCAGCACAUAUACUAAACUUGGAACCAUACAGAGAUUAGCAUGGCCCCUAUGCAAGAAUGACACACAAAUUUGUGAAGCGCUCCAUAUUUUU